GAAAAAUGUUUGGCCGUGACCGA
RNAcentral lists this non-coding RNA (23 nucleotides) under Cricetulus griseus (Chinese hamster). The record is from RNAcentral. Lineage: Eukaryota; Metazoa; Chordata; Mammalia; Rodentia; Cricetidae.